This 544-nucleotide ribosomal RNA is filed under the name uncultured Acidobacteriota bacterium. RNAcentral's name for it is "bacterial SSU rRNA". It matches the Rfam family "Bacterial small subunit ribosomal RNA", at positions 28 to 551 of the family's 1533-position model. Lineage: Bacteria; Pseudomonadati; Acidobacteriota. The record is from RNAcentral.
AAUCAACGCUGGCGGCGUGCCUCAGACAUGCAAGUCGAACGCGAAAGUUCCCUUCGGGGAGCUAGUAGAGUGGCGCACGGGUGAGUAACACGUAGGUAAUCUACCUUUGGAUUGGGAAUAACACCGAGAAAUCGGUGCUAAUACCGAAUAAUGCAGCGGCACCUAAUGGUGACAGUUGUUAAAGCGGGGGAUCGAAAGACCUCGCGUCUGAAGAGGAGCCUGCGGCAGAUUAGCUAGUUGGUAAGGUAACGGCUUACCAAGGCGAUGAUCUGUAGCCGGCCUGAGAGGGCGGUCGGCCACACUGACACUGACAUACGGGUCAGACUCCUACGGGAGGCAGCAGUCGGGAAUUUUGGGCAAUGGGCGAAAGCCUGACCCAGCAACGCCGCGUGAAGGAUGAAAUCCCUCGGGAUGUAAACUUCGCAAGAACGGGAAGAAUAAGCCGGUGUUAACACCACCGGUGAUGACGGUACUGUUUGUAAGCUCCGGCUAACUCCGUGCCAGCAGCCGCGGUAAUACGGGGGGAGCAAGCGUUGUUCGGAUU